This 27-nucleotide small RNA is filed under the name Bombyx mori (domestic silkworm). Its description in RNAcentral is "ovarian small RNA-9615". Lineage: Eukaryota; Metazoa; Arthropoda; Insecta; Lepidoptera; Bombycidae. The record is from RNAcentral.
UUCCUCAGUAAACUUGACAGGUGUGUU